This 1970-nucleotide long non-coding RNA is filed under the name Musa acuminata (dwarf banana). Its description in RNAcentral is "long non-coding RNA (MACU_LNC000448)". Lineage: Eukaryota; Viridiplantae; Streptophyta; Magnoliopsida; Zingiberales; Musaceae. The record is from RNAcentral.
CUCUCUCUCUCUCUCUCUCUCUCUCUCCUUACAUGUCUAAAAUGGUGAUGCCUCUUGUGACCUUCUGUCUGCGAACAAUGUCCGAUUCGGAUGUGAUGAGGAUGGCGGUGGCAUUAUCCAGGUGGUGGACGACUCUCUGCUUUUUGUUCCCUUGCUUUACAUGUACAUGGGGCUCUCUUUCUUGGCUUUUAGUAUUUUGCCAUUAUUACGAGUCUUCUUUCAUUUAGCACUAACAAUAUGAAGUCGAAUAUUUCACAUCAAUUUUGAAAUCAAAAAGAGAAAUCAAGUCAUUAAUAAUCAAGAAAUAAAUCAAAAUUUUGGUAAGAAAAAAAUACUAAAUACAAAGAAUAAUUUUCUCUUUUGUUAACUUAAAUUCAUUCUCGAAAUCUUCUUAUACACCUCAUAUAAGCAUACAAAACUCUUAUCUCGGUCUUUUCUAAAUUCACUAAAAAAACCUCUAAUUUUUUUUUUAAUGAUUGAGUUCUUGAUUUUAGUCCUCCAAGUAAUUUGAAUUUAAUUAUGAUGCUUAAAAUAUUUAUCAAUCCUAAUAAAUCCUAAAUUUACUAAGAUAUAAUCUAUGUUAUCCAUAAAAAAUAUUCUCCUAACAAAUCAAAUAAGGAAAACCAUUCCUAAAAAUAUAGUUAAAUUAAAAUAAAAUAUUACCCAAACACUCUCUCGCUCAUUGAUUAAAAUACUCAUUUUCUCUAAUUUAAAUGUCGAUAUUCUCUUUUCAAGCCUUGAGUUAGCAUGCCUUAGCUAAUCACUUUGCAUCGAUCUUUCCUUCUAGAGCUUGAUAAUAUAUAUUUUAAUGAGCAAAUUGAAUUGAUGAACGAAUUUGACAUAGACCAACCAUGACGUUGUGCAUGCAUCUUUUUACGGGAUAACGAAGCCAACGCAUCCUCCAUUAUAAUAAUAAUAAUUAUUAUUAUCAUCAUCCAGCGAUGUCAUAAGUGUCGUGCAUUGGUACGAAGCUUCCCUUCCUUAGGGCAGACCACUAAGUACGGAAUGUUUAGAGGAAUAUUCCAAUCAUUAGCUUGCACAGGAUUAAACCAAACGUGUAACGUGAUUAGCCGCUGGAUUUUGUUGGAGAUAAUGAUAUUUAUGAAGUGGACGGCUAAGAUUUCGGCUAAGUCGUUGAUCUUUGAUCACAGUUGAUCCUGAUCUCCCACGCCAAAAGUCAAUGCAGCUCUAAUUACAAUGCAGUUAAACACGCUAUUAGGAUUGUGCAGCAUCAUUUUGAUGUUGAUGUGUGUGGUCAUAUCAUUAUAUGGAAUUCUGAACUACUUGAGCUUAGUAUAGCAAGAACAGUUUAUAUAUAUUUUCUCCUAAUCAACUAUUAUCUUCGUGAUAGUGUAUUCUAAAUUUACCUUAUGGGAGGAUUUAAAAUAUAAUUCUUAUCCUAAAUUUAGAUAUAGAUAAUCACUUUAGUAUAGUCACAGUACCAAAUUCUAAGAUAAAAUUUUGACAGGGAGAGUAUACGUUUAAUUUUAGCUAUAUUAUAGUAUAAAUAGAUGUCUCUCCAAAUGCAAUUUAUGUAUACUUAAUAUUUUACAUUAACCUUGAAUGUCUACUAACUUCGAGUAUAAAGAGGUCUCAUUCUAUUGAUUCGAGACUCUAACCAAUUUGACUGCAACCCUCCCUAAGAUCUGGUCAAAGUGAUCGUCUCAGGAUUAUUAGUGUUUCAUUUUUCUUCUUUCUUUUGCUCGAAUCAUCUACAUGCGAUCACAUAAGAUGGCAUUAAUUCGCAUAAAUAAAAGAUAAAAGUAAACGGACUUCAGCUGGUUGAUGUUGGAGAGAGAGACAAGAACUGGAUAAUCUCAAGGAGACCUGAUGACAAGAGUUUGACAAACGCCCCCAAUCCAGCUGAGAUUAACGUCUAAGAAACGUGGGUGUUUUGCAGAGACGACCGCGGCGAUUCGAUGAGUGCGUGCGCUCUUCAGAAUCCUUUUCCUUCCUCCGUUUUCCUUCGA